AGCCACUCCAGUCCCUUCCCUUCCAGCCUGGGGACACCCUCCAGCAGCAGCCCUAAAACCGAGGGAAUUCCCCUCACAGAAAUUCCGUCCCAAGCAAGGCCCUCGGAGGUGCCCUAAAACAAAAGGUUAGAGUUAGAUGAAGUUUUGUUUGGAUGAAGUUUGGAGUUUUUAGGGAGCCAGCUGGAACUGCAGAACUGCUGGGAAGCUUGCACAGGUGGGUCACGCCGCAGGUGCCCUGAAGGCAGGGAUGGGCAUCCCUUUCCUCAGGGAAGAGAACUCCCAGAGGCCACUCCUGCCCUGGCCUGCUGUAAAACAUCAACGGGAGCCCGAGCCCAGGGGUGGAGUCCAUGGAAUUCCAGGGAACUCUGUCAAUGCCCCCGGGAAUAUGGGUGGGGCUGAGGGAUGAAUAAAUAGCAAAAGGUUAUAAAUAGCAAAUGCUAUGGAAUAUCAACCUGUCCUUGUCCUGAUCCCACUGAGCUUCCUUGGAGCCUCUGCUGGCUCCUGGCACAGCUGGUGUUCAAUAGGCAGCUCUGUGUGGGAAUAUCCAUGCUGCAUGAGGAUAUCCAUGGAUAUCCAUGCUGCAGGAGGCACUGGGAGGUUAUUCCAGUAGGGAAUUCAGGGCUAUAGCUAUAAUUCAUCUAAACAGCAAAGCUGAACCCCAAAUCUGGGUUUCCCUGCCAGCCAAAGCCCCUGGGCUGGGAAACUUCAGCAGCCAAACACAUGGAAUUCUCUAAAUCCCAGCAACCAGCAUUUUGUCCUCUAUAUAUAUUACCUAUUUCUAAAACCAAAAACCACACAGGUUUUGUCUAUCUCAUCCACUAAAUGCUCAUUCUGUCCCCCACAAAUUAUAUCAGAUAAUUCCUCAAAAAUACUUCAAUAUUCUUCAGGUUAUUUCAAGUUUUACCCCCAAGGUCUUCCCUGUAUGUCUACUACUAUUUAUCUCAUUUUUACCUCAAAAUACUAAUUCUACAUCCUGUAAAAAAUAUCAAAUUCUAUACCCAAAAUUUUCAUUACCUCUCUACAAGUGAUUACCUCAGUUUACCUCAUGAUCAUUCUCUUCCCUGGGGAAUAGUUCACAUUCCCCCACAAAUAUUCCCUGUCCCCUUCUGAUUUCCUCAUUUUUACAAGAAAGCAUUCUUUCUUUACUCUGGAGAUUACCACAAGAUUUACCCUAAAAAUUUUACCUACCUGUCCACUCCCUAUUACCUCAUUUCCAUCUCAAUAUUUUCAUUCUUUACCCUACAGAUGCUUUCAGUUUUCCCUCCCAGUAAUUUCCUUACCUGUCCAUAACUGGUUACCUCAGUUUACCCCAUCAAGUGCAUCCUCUCUGCUACAGUUCAACUCAGAUUUUACCCCUGAAAUUUCCCCUACCUCUCCACCACUGAGUGAGUACCUCAUUUUUACCUCAGAAUAUUCAUUUUCUACCAUGCCAAAUCCCUCAAGUUCUACCCCCCAACUUUACCCACCUGUCCACAGCAAUUUUACCUCAGGUUCUUCCUGCUCUUUCCAAAAGAUAAUCUCACAUUUUACCCCCUCAAUUUUCCCUGCCUGCCCAGUACUGAUUACCUCCUUUUCACCUCAAAAUAUUUAUUCUUUCACCCAAAGAUUAGCUCACUUUUUAUUACCAAAAUGCCUAUUUUGUCCCCUGUAUACUAACAAUGUUUUAAAACCAAAACCACACAAGUUAUGUCUUUCUUAUCCCCAAAUUCUGUCCCCUGCACAUCACAUCAGUUUUCCUCAAAAACAUUUCUUUUUAUUAGCUCAGGGUUUGCCCCCCAAAUUCUCCCAAGCUGGUCCCCUCCUGAUCACUUCAUUUCUCCCUCAAGAUGUUCAUUCCCUGCCCUACAGAUCUUCCCAAGUUUUACCCCCAAAAUUUCCUUGCCUGCCCCCAGUGACUGCCUCAGUUUAUGUCAGUGUUCACUCUCUCCCUUGAGAUUACUCCAGUUUUACUUCCAAAAUUUUCCUUACCUGUCCCCAAUUUACUACCUCAUUUUUACCUUAAAAUAUUUAUUCUCAACCUCUAGAUUAUUUCAUUAUUCCUCUACCUGUCCACUACUGAUUCCCUCAUUUUCUCUUCACUAUAUUUUCUACCAUGUGGCUUGUCUCAUUAUUUAUCCCCUAAUUCUCCAUCUGUCUACUAUUGAUGAUCUCACUUUUACCUCAAAAUGUUCUUUCUCUGCCCUACAGAUUAUUUAAUAUUAUUUUUGCCCCUCAAAAUUUCCCUAUCUGCCCACAACCGAUUCCCUCACAUUACCUCAGUAUGUUCAUGCUCUCCCCUAGAAAUUAUCUCAGAUUUAGCCCCCAAAUUGUCCCUACAUGCUCAGUACUCAUCACCUCAUUCUUCCCUCAAAGUCUUCAUUCUCUGCUCUUGAGAUUUUGUCAAGUUUUGUCUCCAAAAUUUUCCUUACUUAAAAAUGACUACCUCAUUUUUACUCCAAUACAUUCAUUCUGUCCCCUACAGAUUGCAUUGAGUUUUACCCCAAAAUUUUCCUUCCUGUACAAUAUUGAUUAGCUCUUUUCUACUCCAAAAAUUUGCAUUGUCCCCUAAACAUCACCUCAGCUUUUCCCUCAGAAAUGCCACCUUGCUCCCCUUGACAUCCUCACAUUUUCCUACACAAACAGUUCUUGUGUCCCCUCAACUGUCCCAGGUUUUCAGCUAAAAAUGUCACCUCUGUCCCCUCUGAGUUACCCCAGGUUUUCCCUGUUAGGAGUUGCAAGGAAUUCGGGCAGGGCAAAGGACAGCAGGGAAUUCUGUAAAUUCAAAGGCAGAGAGAGAAGAUCUACCAGCAAAGGGGAAAGGUUUCAGAAAUCAUUUCUGCAAUUACUAAUUAAUAAUCAUUUCCAAUCCCCAGUGAGAAGAACAUGAACUCACCACCAUUAAGGCCUGGCAGUUCCCUGCAGUGAGAGCUCAGUGCACAUCCACAGAGGCAAUUGCAGCAUCUGAAAGGAAGAAAAGAAGAAAAAGGACUUUUCCAAUCCAACCCUGAAGCUGAGAAGCCCAAAAGCUCUGGAGUCUGCUCUGGAACAAAAGGAUCCUCCCAGGGCUGAGGCCCAUUCCCAGCAAACCCUCCCAACAGGCCCAGAGGCGCUGCUGGAGCUCCUGCUGGGCUGGGAAGGGCUGCCAGGAGGACACAGCCCCAGGGGUGGCAGUGGCAGUGGCAGCAGCAAAUGGCCACGCUGGGAUGGCACAGCAGAGCCCAAGGCCAGCAAUGGCCACGGCAGCUGCAGGGUUAAUUCUGCUCCCUGCCUGCCCCAGCCCGGCAGGAAAUGCCCGGGGGGACAGAAACUCUCAGGGUGCACAAAGUGCAGCAUCUGUGCCCCCGAUCCUGCCUGAGCCCAGCGUGGGGGGCCAACCCCCCCAGGGUCAGCCCUGCCCUGGCUCAGCCCCAGACACUGCCCCAGCUCCCGGCUGCUCCCGGGGCUGCCACCACUCCUGGCAAGGGGACAAAGGUGACAAAGGCCACAACUGCAUCCAGGCCCAUCACUCCAUCCAGGUCCUCCCAAAGCUCCCCAUCUGUGCUUUGGCCAGUGCCUGCCCCCAGCCCUGCAGCAUCCAGAAAGUUUGAAUGCUGGAGAUCUGCUGUACUUCUCCCCUUCAGUGUUAUUUCCAGGAAGUAACAAACCCACCACAGUGCAAGGGAAGAAAAGGUGAUUUAAGGAAUGUUUUACUCACACACUCCUCACUUUACCCCUCACAACCACCCCAGCAUGGAACAGACAUUCAGGAAUUAGUGUUCAGUAGCUGCCAUUGGAAUUUUAAGGGAUACCAACAAAGCCUUGAUACAUAUGUGGGGAAUUCCAAAACAGGUUUUCCUUCCCCAUCCAUGUCAGCAUCCAGCACAAUUCCCUGCUGCUGUUUGGUCCCCAGGAGCUGCAAGAGGAAUGUCAGUCCUCGGCGUAGCCUCGUUAGUCCAGGAGAUAAUUAAUUCAAAGAGAAUUCAUCUGGUCAGUGACAGAAGAUCAUCACAGCGGAACAUGAUCCUUGCCACAGGAUAUUCCCACCCCUGUGGGCAGUUCUCUGAUCAAGAACUACUUCCCAAAUUCAGUGAUUCCAUUUAAACCACAGCAGCACAGUUUGCAGGGACACAAGUUUUCAGCCUUGUGUGAACGAAGUGAAGACAAAACAUCACUGGGAGAAAUCCUGAAGUUUAAAAUCCUAUUCCUCACUUCUCUGACUAAUGCACCUCUUAAAAUCCAGUCUGGAUUGUGCAGAAAAGUUCCUUGGUCCCACUUGGAAAUUGAUCUCCCCAAAACCCAUUAAACAGUUAUUACAAGUGAUUCCAUUCAUUACUAAGGAAAAGACAAUACAAAUAAACUGGAAAAAAAAUUGG
Non-coding RNA from Zonotrichia albicollis (white-throated sparrow), 4331 nucleotides. The record is from RefSeq and is a predicted model, not a curated record. Lineage: Eukaryota; Metazoa; Chordata; Aves; Passeriformes; Passerellidae.